Long non-coding RNA from Dama dama (fallow deer), 6691 nucleotides. RefSeq lists it as uncharacterized. Lineage: Eukaryota; Metazoa; Chordata; Mammalia; Artiodactyla; Cervidae. The transcript is spliced from 3 exons. The record is from RefSeq and is a predicted model, not a curated record.
GGAAGGGUGUUACAAAAAAAAAAAAAAAACAAAGCAAGCAAGAAAAGCUCUUAGGUUUGCAACACAUUGGAAAACCGGGGGAGUGCCCCGCCUCGUCCGUUCUCGGUGCCCCGCGAGGGCCUUCCGGGUUUUAGAGCGAACCUCUCGCUAUUCUCAAUGCCCCUCACCUCCUCCGAGUUUAGGAUCCGAGGAGUCCGAGCAAAGAGUUCUCCCCCUGGGCCAUAGCAAGGGGGUGUCAGGGUGAGUUGGGGGCAUUUUUCAAGAAGCAGUAACCAUCCGUCCCACCCCCGCGUCGGUAGCUGGGCCGCGGGAGUCUGGGUUGAGAGCAAAAAUCCCGGUGGGUUUAGGCGAAGGGGAUUCCGGGGCGAAUCGGAGCCGCGAGACCGCGUUUCGCGCAUCUCCCCUUCGGUCUCUGCCUCCAGUCCCCCAGCCUGCUCCCCCUUUAAUUUUUUCCCCCCCUCUCCUUUAAUCUAAUUUCUUCCAACUCCACCUUUGUUGUUAACCGGCGUCACGCCCGGACCAGCCAAUCCCCGGCACGCUAUCAGCUUGUCAAAAAGGCUUGGCCAGCCCUGGGAAAGCAGGCCGCGGGCGCUGCCCCCCCUGCCCCUCCUCCCCCCGGCGGCGGCGGGGAGCCGCGAGGGGAGCCUGGCACCCUGGCCUCGCCGCCAGAGCCGCAGCGGGGCAGCCUCCCCGUAGGCCUUCGGUCUCCACCAUCCUGCGGGCCGGAGAUCGAACGGCCUGGGCGCGACCACCGUGUACUCUCCCACUGCCGUCGGCUGCGGUUGUCUGUCUCUGCCUCUCCACCGAGAAAGGUUUAUCUGGACGCAGGAAGCCCGAAGACAGUCUGAAGAACGCCUGCUUCCAUCAGGCGAGCCUACGGUUUGGGCCAUCGCUCCGGGGCGGCGCCAUCGCCCCCGGCUCCAGGGAUGCCAGUCUACCACAGCAGCACUGCCAGCUGGGCCGCCGACCCCUUUGGACUCUUCCCCUGUCACACAGCCUUCUCCAUCCGCACACCACGGCCUCGCUGCAGCUGUAAUUUCUCUUAUUUCCUGGGAGAACUGAGAGUCCUUUCCCAGGACUUCCACAGCCCACAUCUGCCACGUUUCACAAGCCAGGAGGAAAAUCUUGUCAAGAUCUGGUGUGUCUGGAUUUUUUAGUGGGUAGGAGGGGCCGAUUUACCUUGUUGCUCAUGAAGCUUAAGCUUCAGGGCCUCUCAUCGCAAGCCCUGUCUUUACUUUUGAUUCAUCAUUUGGUAUUAUUUUUUAUUCCCCCCUCCCCCUCCCCACAAACCCAAUUCUGCCCUUGAAACCUUACAGAGGGCAUUUUGUGAAGUACCAAGACGUGUCACACUGUACUUAGAACCUGCUGCUGCUGCUGCUAAGUCGCUUCAGUCGUGUCCGACUCUACGCGACCCCAUAGACGGCAGCCCACCAGGCUCCUCGUCCCUGGGAUUCUCCAGGCAAGAACACUGGAGUGGGUUGCCAUUUCCUUCUCCAACUUAAAACCUGCAGGGAAUGACUUUCCUGUUUUGACUUCAAAACAGCAAAGAGUUUGGAGUCAGAAGUCCCAGGUUCCCAGCCUCUGGGCUUUCCCACCUAAACAGUUGAAUUGAUGGGACCCAGAUAAUCACGAAGGUGAGAUCACUCACACUCACCUAGAGCCAGACAUCCUGGAAUUUGAAGUCAGAUGGGCCUUAGGAAGCAUCACUACGAUGGAUUUGGAGGUAGAGGUGAUGGAAUUCCAAUUGAGCUAUUUCAAGUCCUAAAAGAUGAUGCUGUGAAAGUGCUGCACUCAAUAUGUCAGCAAAUUUGGAGAACUCAGCAGUGGCCACAGGACUGGAAAAGGAGAGGCUUUUCCAUGCAGCUUGUGGGAUCUUAGUCCCCAAAUCAGGGAUUGAACCCCCUGCACGCAGCAAUGAAAGCACCCGGCCUAACCACCACUGGACCACCAGGGAAUUCCACACACCAUUUGUUGAAAAGACAAUCUUUGCCAUUUUGUAUUGCCUUGCUCCUUUGUCUAAAAUCAGUUGAUUUAUAUAUAUGUGGGUCUAUUUCUGGUGUCUGUAUUAUAUUCCAUUGAUCUAUUUGUCUAUUCUUUCAACCAUACCACAUUGUCUUGAUUACUGUAACUUUAUAUACAUCUUAAACUGGAGUACUAUCUGUCCUUGAACUUUCUUCUUCUUCUUCAAUAUUGUAUUGGUUAUUCUGGGUAUUUUGUCUCUCCAUAUAAACUUUAGAAUAGUUUGUUGACCCAGAUGGUGCAGUGGUAAAGAUCUACCUGCCAAUGCAGGAGAUGCAAGAGACAUGGGUUCGAUCCCUGGGCUGGGAAGAUCUCCUGGAGUAGGAAAUGGCAACCCACUCCACUAUUCUUGCCUGGAAAAUUCCGUGGAUGGAGAAGCCUGGCAGGCUAUAGUCCAUGGGGUCGCAAAGAGUCUAACAUGACUGAGCAUAGCACAGCACACACACAUACACGCAUAUCCACAAAAUAACUUGAUGGGAUUUUGGUUCGGAUUGCUUUGAAUCUAUAGAUGAAAAUAGCAAGAAUUGAUAUCUUAACAAUAUUAAGUUUUCCUAGUCACGAACAUGGGUAUUUCUCCAUUUAUUUAGUUCUUUGAUAUCUUUCAUCAGAGUUUUGCAGUUUUCCUCAUAUAGUUCUUAUACAUAUUUUGUUAGAUUUAUAUGAAUACUUAAUGUAUUUCAUUCUUUUUGAGUGCUAAUAUAAAUAACACUGAUUUUUAUUUACAGUUCCUCUUGUUCAUUACUGGUAUAUAGGAAAGCAAUUGACCUCUGUAUAUUAACCUUGUAUCCUGCAACCUUUCUAUAAUCAUUUAUCAAUUCCAGGAGUGUUUUUUGUUGGUUCUUUCAGAUUGUUUACAUAGAUGAUUGUGUCAUCUGCAAACAGAGAUAGUUUUACUUCCUCCCUCCUAAUCUGUGUUUCUUACUUCCUAAUCUUUCUUUUCCUUUUCUUUUUCUCUUCUCCUUUUUGAGGAUUUCUAUGUAUGAUGUUGAAAGGCAGUAGUGAGAAGGGACAUACCUACCUUGUUCCUAAUCUAAAUGGGAAAGCGUCAAGAUACUGACCAUUAAGUAUGUUAGCUGUACCUUUUUUGUUGAUGUUCUUUAUCAAAUUGAGGAGUACACUCUAUUCCUAGUAAGCUGAGAGUUUUUAUGAUGCAUGGGUAUUGAAUUUUGUCAAAUGCUUUUUCUGCCUCUAUUGAUGUUACCAUGUGAUUUUUGCCCAUUAAUGUGAUGAAUUACAUUAAUUGAUUUUCAAAUGUUGAACCAUCCUUGCAUAUCUGCAAUAAAUCCCACUUGGUUGUGUGUAUAGUUCUUUUAUACAUUGCUGAAUUCUUUUUUUUUUUUUGGCUGUGCUGGGUCUUCGUUGAUUUUCUCUAGUUGCAGCAAGUGGAGAGCUAUUCUCUAGUUGCGGUGUGCAGGCUUCGCAUUGUGGUGGCUUCUCUUAUUGUGGAGCAUGGGCUCUAGAGUGCUUGAGAUUCAGUCGUUGCAGUGCGUGGGCUUGGUAGUUGUGGCUCCCAAACUCUAGAGCACAGACAGGCUCAAUGGUUGUGCACAGGCUUAGUUGCUCUGUAGCAUGUGGUGGGAUCUUCCUGGAGCAAGGAUUGAACCUGUGUCCCCUGCAUUGGCAGAUGAAUUCUUUACCACUGAACCACCAGAGAAGCUCUAUACAUUGUUGAAUUUGAUUAGCUAAUAUUUUGUUGAGAAUUUUUGCAUCUAUAUUCAUGAGAGAUAUUGAUCUGUAGGGUUUUUUCUUUCUUUCUUGUAAUGUCUUUGGUUUUGGUAUUAGGAUCUCAUAGACUGAGUUAGGAAGUACGUUGUCCCUUGGUAUCCACAGGGGAUUGGUUCCAAGACCCCCACAGAUAUAAAAGUCCACAGAUGCCCAAGUCCCUUGUAUAAAAUGGCUUAGUAUUUGUAUAAAACCUAUGUAUGAAUAUACCCUCCAAUAUACUUUAAAAUGAGCUUUCCUGAUGGCUUGGUGUAAAGAAUUCACCUGCCAAUGCAGGAGACUUGAGUUCAACCCCUGGGUCGGGAAGAUGCCCUGGAGAAGGAAAUGGCAACCCACUCCAGUAUUCUUGCCUGGGAAAUCCCAUGGACAGAGGAGCCUGGCGGGCUACAGUCCAUGGGGUCACAAAAGAGUGGGACACGACUUACUGAUUAAACAACAAGCAAGCAAGCAAAGUCGCCCAGUCGUGUCCAACUCUUUGCGACGCCGUGGGCUAUGGCCUACCAGGCCCCUCCGUCCAUGGGGUUUUCCAGGCAAGAGUACUGGAGUGGGUUGCCAUUGCCUUCUCCACAACAACAUACUUUAAAUCACCUGUAGAUUGCUUAUAAUACCUAAUACAAUGUAGAUGCUAUGGAAAUGGUUGAAAAUGCAUUGUAAAUGCAAUAGAAAUAGUUGCUGGCACACGGCAAAUUCAAAUUUUGAUUUUUGGAGAUUUCUGGAAAAUUAUUUUUUGGAUUAUUUUCAAUUCACAGUUAAUUGAAAUCUGUAGGUGUGGAACCUGGGGAUACAGAGAGCUGACUGUAUUCCCUCCACUUCUAUCUUCUCGAAGAGACCAGAGAAUUGUUAAAAUUUCUUUUUUCAACAUUUGGUAGACAUCAGUAAUGAACCCAUCUGGGCCUUGUUGUUUUGGAAGGUUGUUGCUUGUUGUUUUGGAAGGUUACUAACGAUUGAUUCAAUUUCGUUCACAGAUAAAAGACCUAUUCAGAUUUCUUCUUGUGUGAAUUUUGGCAGAUUGUAUCUUUUAAGGAAUUGGUCUAUUUCAUCUAGGUUAUCAAAUUUGUGGGCAUAAAGCCAUUUAUGAUGUUCUUGUAUUAUCCUUUUAAUGUUCAUGGGAGCUGUACUGUUGUCCCCUCUUUCAUUUCUGGUAUUAGCAGUUUUUAAGAAGUUAUUUAUUGUCAGUGGCGUCUCCAUUGCUGCAGGUGGGCGGUCUCUGGUUGUGAUGAGUAUGGGUUGCUCUUCGUUGCGAUACAUAGGCUUCUCAUUUGGUGGCGUCUCUUGUUCCGAAGCACAGGCUCUAGGUGUAGGGGCUUCCGCAGUUACAGCACGUGAGCUUGGUAUUUGUGGCCCACGGGCUUUAGUUUCUGUGCGGCAUGUGGAAUCUUUCCAGACCAGGGAUCGAAGCCCCUGUGUCCCCUGGAUUGGCAGGCAGACUCCUAUCUGCUGUACCACCAGACAAGUCCUGAUAUUAGUAAUUUGUGUCUUCUCUUCUCUUUUUUUCCUUAGUUACUCUGGCUAGACGUUUAUCAAUUUUAUGGAUCUUUUUCAAAGAACCAGCUUUUGGUUUUGUUGAUUUUCUCUGUUGACUUCCUAUUUUCAACGUCAUUGAUUUUGGCUCCUAUUCUUUUCUACUGUUUCUUUUCUUUUGUUGAAUUUGGAUUUAGUUUGCCCUUUUUGUUCUUGUUUCCUAAAGUGGAAAUUUAGAUUAUUGAUUUUAGAUCUUUCUUCUUUCUAAUACUAUCUUCAUUUGUUAAUAUAAAUUUGAGCAAUGGUUUUGCUAAAUCCUACAAAUUUGGAUAAGUUGUUUUUGUUUUCAUUUAUUUCAAAAUAUUUGAAAAUUUCUCUUGAAAUUUCUCCUUUGUCCCAUGUAUUACUAGAAAUAUGCUGCUCUGUCUCCAAGUAGUUGGGAAUUUUCCAGCUAUCUUUCUGUUGUUGAUUUCGAGUUUCAUUCCAUUGUGGUCUAAGGGUAGACAUUGUAUGAUUUCUAAUCCUCUAAACUUACUAAAGUGUGCUUUAUGGCCCCAAAUAUGGUAUACCUUGGUGAUUGUUCCAUGUGUGAGUUUGAGACCAAUGUGUUGUUGGAUAAGUAGUCUAUAGAUGUCAAUCAUAUACAGUUUAUUUACAGUGUGGUUGAGUUCAACUAUGUCCUUACUGCCUGCUGGAUCUGUCCAUUUCUGAUAGAGAAGUGUUAGAGUCUCCAACUGUUACAGUGGAGUCAUCUAUUUCUCUUUGCAGAUCUAUCAGUUUUUGCCGCAUGUAUUUUGACACUGUUGCUAGGCCCAUACAAGUGAAGGAUGGUUGGGUACUUCCCUGGUGGUCCAGUGGUUAAGAAUCUACCUUGCAACGCAGGGGACGCAGGUUCAAUCCCUGGUCGGGGAACUAAGAUCCCAUAUGCCAUGGGGCAACUUGGCAACUAAGACCUGCUACAGCUAAAUAAGUGUUUUUUUUUUUUUUUUAAAAAACAUCUUCUUGGAGUAUUAAGCAACAGUUAGAACUGGACAUGGGACAACAGACUGGUUCCAAAUAGGAAAAGGAAUACGUCAAGGCUGUAUAUUGUCACCCUGCUUAUUUAACUUAUAGGCAGAGUACAUCAUGAGAAACGCUGGGCUGGAGGAAGCACAAGCUGGAAUCAAGAUUGCCGGGAGAAAUAUCAUAACCUCAGCUAUGCAGAUGACACCACCCUUAUGGCAGAAAGUGAAGAAGAACUAAAGAGCCUCUUGAUGAAAGUGAAAAAGGAGAGUGAAAAAGUUGGCUGAAAGCUCAACAUCCAGAAAACUAAGAUCAUGGCAUCUGGUCCCAUCACUUCAUGGCAAAUAGAUGGGGAAACAGUGGAAACAGUGGCUGACUUUAUUUUUCUGGGCUCCAAAAUCACUGCAGAUGGUGAUUGCAGCCAUGAAAUUAAAAGAUGCUUACUCCUUGGAAGGAAAGUUAUGACCAACCUAGACAGCAUAUUAAA